UAAUUAUCAAGAAAGACUGAGGGAUAGGCCCGAUGAUGUCUUAGCAACCUAUACGCCCAUUGGUAUAAAGGUGCUAAUUCCUAUCUGUAGCGAUACAGAAAAGAUAAUGU
This 110-nucleotide non-coding RNA is filed under the name Mucilaginibacter pedocola. Its description in RNAcentral is "SAM-I sequence". It matches the Rfam family "SAM riboswitch aptamer (S box leader)". Rfam says of the family: The SAM riboswitch is found upstream of a number of genes which code for proteins involved in methionine or cysteine biosynthesis in Gram-positive bacteria. The SAM riboswitch acts at the level of transcription termination control. Lineage: Bacteria; Pseudomonadati; Bacteroidota; Sphingobacteriia; Sphingobacteriales; Sphingobacteriaceae. The record is from Rfam by way of RNAcentral.